Molecule: ribosomal RNA, 1358 nt
Filed under: uncultured bacterium
Lineage: Bacteria
Description: bacterial SSU rRNA
Rfam family: Bacterial small subunit ribosomal RNA
Source: RNAcentral
CCUGGCUCAGGACGAACGCUGGCGGCACGCUUAACACAUGCCAGUCGAACGAGAGAAGAGAAGCUUGCUUUUCUGAUCUAGUGGCGGACGGGUGAGUAACACGUGAGCAAUCUGCCUUUCAGAGGGGGAUACCGAUUGGAAACGAUCGUUAAUACCGCAUAACAUAAUUGAACCGCAUGAUUUGAUUAUCAAAGAUUUAUCGCUGAAAGAUGAGCUCGCGUCUGAUUAGCUAGUUGGUAAGGUAACGGCUUACCAAGGCGACGAUCAGUAGCCGGACUGAGAGGUUGAUCGGCCACAUUGGGACUGAGACACGGCCCAGACUCCUACGGGAGGCAGCAGUGGGGAAUAUUGCACAAUGGAGGAAACUCUGAUGCAGCGAUGCCGCGUGAGGGAAGAAGGUUUUAGGAUUGUAAACCUCUGUCUUCAGGGACGAAAAAUGACGGUACCUGAGGAGGAAGCUCCGGCUAACUACGUGCCAGCAGCCGCGGUAAUACGUAGGGAGCGAGCGUUGUCCGGAAUUACUGGGUGUAAAGGGAGCGUAGGCGGGAUCGCAAGUCAGAUGUGAAAACUAUGGGCUUAACCCAUAAACUGCAUUUGAAACUGUGGUUCUUGAGUGAAGUAGAGGUAAGCGGAAUUCCUAGUGUAGCGGUGAAAUGCGUAGAUAUUAGGAGGAACAUCAGUGGCGAAGGCGGCUUACUGGGCUUUAACUGACGCUGAGGCUCGAAAGCGUGGGGAGCAAACAGGAUUAGAUACCCUGGUAGUCCACGCCGUAAACGAUGAUUACUAGGUGUGGGGGGACUGACCCCUUCCGUGCCGCAGCAAACGCAAUAAGUAAUCCACCUGGGGAGUACGACCGCAAGGUUGAAACUCAAAGGAAUUGACGGGGGCCCGCACAAGCAGUGGAGUAUGUGGAUUAAUUCGAAGCAACGCGAAGAACCUUACCAGGUCUUGACAUCGUAUGCAUAGCUCAGAGAUGAGUGAAAUCUCUUCGGAGACAUAUAGACAGGUGGUGCAUGGUUGUCGUCAGCUCGUGUCGUGAGAUGUUGGGUUAAGUCCCGCAACGAGCGCAACCCUUACUGUUAGUUGCUACGCAAGAGCACUCUAGCAGGACUGCCGUUGACAAAACGGAGGAAGGUGGGGAUGACGUCAAAUCAUCAUGCCCCUUAUGACCUGGGCCUCACACGUACUACAAUGGCUGUUAACAGAGGGAUGCAAAGCCGCGAGGUGGAGCGAACCCCUAAAAGCAGUCUUAGUUCGGAUUGUAGGCUGCAACCCGCCUACAUGAAGUCGGAAUUGCUAGUAAUCGCAGAUCAGCAUGCUGCGGUGAAUACGUUCCCGGGCCUUGUACACACCGCCCG